CACCUAAACCUCCUCCAGCACCUCCACCAAAUCUUCCACCACUACAACCUCUACGACCACCAAAUCGGCAAUCAUCAUCACCAAGAGUAACAGAACUCAAGUGGAAGACAAUGCAUAAGAGAAGAAGAAGUCCACAAGCCGAUUUAUGAGCAGUAAAACCCAUAUGCAUGGCUAGAUUAGCUAUAUGAUUGAAAAGCUUCUAAUCACCUUAGUUUGGU
RNAcentral lists this long non-coding RNA (218 nucleotides) under Panax ginseng (ginseng). Its description in RNAcentral is "long non-coding RNA (PGIN_LNC017547)". The record is from RNAcentral. Lineage: Eukaryota; Viridiplantae; Streptophyta; Magnoliopsida; Apiales; Araliaceae.